This 879-nucleotide long non-coding RNA is filed under the name Homo sapiens (human). Its description in RNAcentral is "HSALNT0272468". The record is from RNAcentral. Lineage: Eukaryota; Metazoa; Chordata; Mammalia; Primates; Hominidae.
UCCUGGCCAAUAGGAAGCCAAGCAUUGGACCCGUGGCGCCAAAUCCUGUCCUCCCCGCUUUCAGAAGCUAGUCACCCUUUUAUACUCAACUCCAUGUUACUGGGGGGGCUUCUGCUAGAUUCCACCAACAGGACGAACAAGAGGGAAACAAAGGCAAGAGGAAGAAGGGACUUGCUCCAUUCUAAUCAGCCUUAUUGCACCCCUCAGAGAUCACAGCAGCAGUCAGUGCUCUCCUCAGAGAUCUGAAUUCUACUUUCAUGCGGCCCCUCCCCUGAGCUCCUGAGAUAGCCAAUGUUUGAGCCACCUCCUCAGAAGUUUGAGCCUCAACACCGUGGGAUCCCUUCUUUGUGCUCCAGAGAUCCAGUAACAGCCAGCCAUCACCCUCUCUUCAUUCUUCAUAGGCCUGAACUAAGGUGUUCAGGGCCCUCCUUCAAGCUUUUAGGUUCUGAUGACUCCAACCACUUCUUUUGUUCCAUCCUUUCCUAGCUCUAGGAAUGGUAGCUGCUACCUGCAGUGAUUACCUGUUACCUUUUAUAAUUCCUUUUGACCAAUUUCCCAUAUUAAAAUAUUUCUCAAUAACUAAUGUGAUUUCUGUUUUCCUGACUGGACCCUGAUUUUAAAAUGCACACAAAAGCCAGGUGCAGUGGCUUAUGCCUGUAAUCCCACCACUGUGGGAGGCCGAGGCAGGUGGAUCACCUGAAGUCAGGAGUUCGAGACCAGCCUGGCCAACAUGGCAAAAACCCAUCGCUACUAAAAAUACGAAAAUUAGCUGGGCAGUGGUGGCAGGUGCCUGCAAUCCCAGCUACUUGGAAGGCUGAGGCACGAGAAUCUCUUGAACCCGGGAGGCGAAGGUUGCAGUAAGCCAAGAUCAUGCCACUG